This is a small nuclear RNA of Lepus europaeus (European hare), 109 nucleotides long. Lineage: Eukaryota; Metazoa; Chordata; Mammalia; Lagomorpha; Leporidae. The record is from RefSeq and is a predicted model, not a curated record.
GUGCUCACUUUGGCAGCACAUAUACUAAAAUUGGAAUGAUACAGAGAAGAUUAGCAUGGUCCCUGUGCAAGGAUGACACGCAAAUAUAUCAAAGACUAACUCAACAUUC